Molecule: ribosomal RNA, 468 nt
Filed under: uncultured bacterium
Lineage: Bacteria
Description: partial 16S ribosomal RNA
Rfam family: Bacterial small subunit ribosomal RNA
Source: RNAcentral
GACGAACGCUGGCGGCGUGCUUAACACAUGCAAGUCGAACGGAAAGGCCCUGCUCUUGUGGCUUGCUCGAGUGGCGAACGGGUGAGUAACACGUGAGUAACCUGCCCUUGACUUAGGGAUAACAUCAGGAAACUGGGGCUAAUACCGGGUAGAAGCUCCUGCUGCAUGGGGGGGGUUGGAAAGAUUCGGCGGUUGUGGCUGGACUCGCGGCUUAUCAGCUUGUUUGUGGGGUAGUGGCUUACCAGGGCUUUGACGGGUAGCCGGCCUGGGAGGGUGACCGGCCACAUUGGGCCUGAGAUACGGCCCAGACUCCUACGGGAGGCAGCAGUGGGGAAUAUUGCACAAUGGGCGGAAGCCUGAUGCAGCAACGCCGCGUGCGGGAUGACGGCCUUCGGGUUAUAAACCGCUUUCGCCGGUGACGAAGCGUGAGUGACGGUAAUGGGUAAAGAAGCACCGGCUAACUACGUG